AAAUAAAUUAUUUUUUAUUUGGAAUAUAAAUGCCUAUUACUUUGUUUUGAUAUUACAGGUUUUGUGCAAAUAUCUGCUGAGUGAACUACUUAUUUGAAAAGACAUCAUUGGUUAAUAUUCCCUUUUGCUCAUUGAAAUCUCAAAGACUACAGGUGUGGUGCAAUUCCAUUAGAUGAAAGAGAUCUACACAUUCAGAAGCACAUGAUUCUUCCCCCUUCCAUGAUUCCAGUGGCCAAUAGAGGUAUAAGGAAGAACCAAGAAACAGUAUUUAAGUUAUGUACUGCAUCCUUUGGCAUUGAUGUUACAGUAUUUCACGAAAGGCCCGAGGAAUUCUAAUUGGAACAGACAAAAACCCAAUACAUGUUUAAGCAGUAAAGUAUUCAUCAGGUCACAAAAAGAGGAGCAAAAGGAGCUGACUCUUUAUGUCAUACCUUGGCCUUAUAAUUUGAUUCUUUGCCAACAUGCACAGUUUUUUUCCAUAGGCUGUGCAUUGGGACAAACUACAAUAAAGCCAUGCCCUGACUGGAUGUGCCUAACAUUUGUCUGGUGCUUAAAGGAGUUGGCUGCAUGCAUGGGAUGGAGAAGGAUUCAACAUUUAAUGGCAGUUAGAAUCAAAUUUUUAACGCAAGAAGGCAGAAGGAAUCCACCGAAAUAAAUGUUGGAAAGUCACCAAAAAUAGUUCUCCAAGUCAGAAGCGGUGCAAAAGCUGCCUCAGCUCUUGGUGGAUUUUCAAUUUCUCCCAGCCAUCUCUGUUUCUCUAAAGGUUUCUGAAGACAGUGG
RNAcentral lists this long non-coding RNA (780 nucleotides) under Pan troglodytes (chimpanzee). RNAcentral describes it as "lncRNA (ENSPTRG00000054662.1)". The record is from RNAcentral. Lineage: Eukaryota; Metazoa; Chordata; Mammalia; Primates; Hominidae.